Molecule: ribosomal RNA, 492 nt
Filed under: uncultured bacterium
Lineage: Bacteria
Description: partial 16S ribosomal RNA
Rfam family: Bacterial small subunit ribosomal RNA
Source: RNAcentral
AGUGAACGCUGGCGGUAGGCCUAACACAUGCAAGUCGAACGGCAGCACAGUAAGAGCUUGCUCUUACGGGUGGCGAGUGGCGGACGGGUGAGGAAUACAUCGGAAUCUACUUUUUCGUGGGGGAUAACGUAGGGAAACUUACGCUAAUACCGCAUACGACCUACGGGUGAAAGCAGGGGAUCUUCGGACCUUGCGCGAUUGAAUGAGCCGAUGUCGGAUUAGCUAGUUGGCGGGGUAAGGGCCCACCAAGGCGACGAUCCGUAGCUGGUCUGAGAGGAUGAUCAGCCAAACUGGAAAUGAGACACGGUCAAGACUCCUACGGGAGGCAGCAGUGGGGAAUAUUGGACAAUGGGCGCAAGCCUGAUCCAGCAAUACCGCGUGGGUGAAGAAGGCCUUCGGGUUGUAAAGCCCUUUUGUUGGGAAAGAAAAGCAGCAGGUUAAUACCCCGCUGUUCUGACGGUACCCAAAGAAUAAGCACCGGCUAACUUCGUG